GGGCAAGUAGCCGAACUGGUAUAGGCGCUGGUCUUAGGAACCAGUGGAGAAAUCCGUGGGGGUUCGAGUCCCCCCUUGCCCA
Molecule: transfer RNA, 82 nt
Filed under: Candidatus Nomurabacteria bacterium RIFCSPHIGHO2_12_FULL_44_22b
Lineage: Bacteria; Candidatus Nomuraibacteriota
Also listed under: 2 other names
Description: tRNA-Leu
Rfam family: tRNA
About the family: Transfer RNA (tRNA) molecules are approximately 80 nucleotides in length. Their secondary structure includes four short double-helical elements and three loops (D, anti-codon, and T loops).
Source: RNAcentral